UGAAAUCUCACCAGGCCCGAUCACUGGAAGGAUUGACAGAUUGAUAGCUCUUUCUUGAUUCGGUGCGUGGUGGUGCAUGGCCGUUCUUAGUUGGUUGAGUGAUUUGUCUUGUUAAUUCCGAUAACGAACGAGACUCUGUCCUGCUAAAUAGUGUCUGCUUCUCUUUCGAGCAGACAAUUCUUCUUAGAGGGACUAUAUAUGUUAAGUAUAUGGAAGUUUGAGGCAAUAA
RNAcentral lists this ribosomal RNA (229 nucleotides) under uncultured eukaryote. RNAcentral describes it as "partial 18S ribosomal RNA". It matches the Rfam family "Eukaryotic small subunit ribosomal RNA", at positions 1208 to 1456 of the family's 1831-position model. The record is from RNAcentral.